GGGGAUUUCGCUCAGUGGCAGAGCACUUGCCUAGUAGGCAUGAGGCCCUGGGUUCAAUGCUCAGCCCUG
RNAcentral lists this transfer RNA (69 nucleotides) under Urocitellus parryii (Arctic ground squirrel). RNAcentral's name for it is "Spermophilus parryii (Arctic ground squirrel) tRNA". It matches the Rfam family "tRNA". Rfam says of the family: Transfer RNA (tRNA) molecules are approximately 80 nucleotides in length. The record is from Rfam by way of RNAcentral. RNAcentral also lists the same sequence under 1 other name. Lineage: Eukaryota; Metazoa; Chordata; Mammalia; Rodentia; Sciuridae.